This 74-nucleotide transfer RNA is filed under the name Deltaproteobacteria bacterium CG_4_10_14_0_2_um_filter_43_8. RNAcentral's name for it is "tRNA-Met". It matches the Rfam family "tRNA". From Rfam's summary of the family: Transfer RNA (tRNA) molecules are approximately 80 nucleotides in length. Their secondary structure includes four short double-helical elements and three loops (D, anti-codon, and T loops). Lineage: Bacteria; Deltaproteobacteria. RNAcentral also lists the same sequence under 2 other names. The record is from RNAcentral.
GGGCCCUUAGCUCAGUUGGUUAGAGCAGUCGACUCAUAAUCGACUGGUCGCUGGUUCAAGUCCAGCAGGGCCCA